GACGAACGCUGGCGGCGUGCCUAAUACAUGCAAGUAGAACGCUGAAGGAGGAGCUUGCUUCUCCGGAUGAGUUGCGAACGGGUGAGUAACGCGUAGGUAACCUGCCUGGUAGCGGGGGAUAACUAUUGGAAACGAUAGCUAAUACCGCAUAACAGUAGAUGUUGCAUGACAUUUGCUUAAAAGGUGCAAUUGCAUCACUACCAGAUGGACCUGCGUUGUAUUAGCUAGUUGGUGAGGUAACGGCUCACGAAGGCGACGAUACAUAGCCGACCGGAGAGGGUGGUCAGCCAGACUGAGAGUGAGACACGGCCCAGACGCCUACGGGAGGGAGCAGGAGGGAUUCGUCGGCAAUGGACGGAAGUCUGACCGAGCAACGCCGCGUGAGUGAGGAGGGUUGUCGGAUCGUAAAGCUCUGUUGUAAGAGAAGAACGAGUGUGAGAGUGGAAAGUUCACACUGUGACGGUAACGUACCAGAAAGGGACGGCUAACUACGUG
RNAcentral lists this ribosomal RNA (495 nucleotides) under uncultured bacterium. RNAcentral describes it as "partial 16S ribosomal RNA". It matches the Rfam family "Bacterial small subunit ribosomal RNA", at positions 28 to 507 of the family's 1533-position model. The record is from RNAcentral.